RNAcentral lists this ribosomal RNA (652 nucleotides) under Salmonella enterica. RNAcentral describes it as "partial 23S ribosomal RNA". It matches the Rfam family "Bacterial large subunit ribosomal RNA", at positions 1 to 677 of the family's 2925-position model. Lineage: Bacteria; Pseudomonadati; Pseudomonadota; Gammaproteobacteria; Enterobacterales; Enterobacteriaceae. The record is from RNAcentral. RNAcentral also lists the same sequence under 3 other names.
GGUUAAGCGACUAAGCGUACACGGUGGAUGCCCUGGCAGUCAGAGGCGAUGAAGGACGUGCUAAUCUGCGAUAAGCGCCGGUAAGGUGAUAUGAACCGUUAUAACCGGCGAUUUCCGAAUGGGGAAACCCAGUGUGACUCGUCACACUAUCAUUAACUGAAUCCAUAGGUUAAUGAGGCGAACCGGGGGAACUGAAACAUCUAAGUACCCCGAGGAAAAGAAAUCAACCGAGAUUCCCCCAGUAGCGGCGAGCGAACGGGGAGGAGCCCAGAGCCUGAAUCAGCAUGUGUGUUAGUGGAAGCGUCUGGAAAGGCGCGCGAUACAGGGUGACAGCCCCGUACACAAAAGCGCAUAUGCUGUGAGCUCGAUGAGUAGGGCGGGACACGUGGUAUCCUGUCUGAAUAUGGGGGGACCAUCCUCCAAGGCUAAAUACUCCUGACUGACCGAUAGUGAACCAGUACCGUGAGGGAAAGGCGAAAAGAACCCCGGCGAGGGGAGUGAAAAAGAACCUGAAACCGUGUACGUACAAGCAGUGGGAGCCCCACCACUAAGCCAGUGGUGAACUCCACAUACGCAUCCUUUGCUGAGGAUACGGUUAACGGAGCGAAAGCGACGUUCAACCGCAAAAGAAGCAGAGGGGGCUUAGUGGUGG